This 823-nucleotide long non-coding RNA is filed under the name Eucalyptus grandis. Its description in RNAcentral is "long non-coding RNA (EGRA_LNC001853)". The record is from RNAcentral. Lineage: Eukaryota; Viridiplantae; Streptophyta; Magnoliopsida; Myrtales; Myrtaceae.
UUGUGUUGAUUGGUUUUCCUUGGUUUCUUCAUUCGUCUAUCAAAGGAUGUUUAUCAAUUGAUUGGUUCUGGCAGUCUAUGCAUUUACUUGUUUUUUGAAAUGACAAAACUAGCGGUUCACUAAGAACAAGGAGGAAUAUUCCAACGUAUACGUGAAUAUGAUGUAUUGAUGGGUGUUGUUAGAUCUGGCCUUUGCUGGCGUUCCUCGACACCAUGACGAGUUGCUGUUCUGUUGAUCUUUGUCCCACGAUCCUGUUGUCCCGCGAUCCUGUUGUUCUAUGGCAAAUAUCUCCUGUUGUUCUCAAUUUGCGUUUUGUCCCGUAUUGCUUGGAUUUGAUCUAAUAUUAGUAUUUUCUGUGUGUCUCUAUGAACCCUUGCGACUCAGCCACAUUUUGAUCCAAUCGGAAGUCGAGGAAGAAAAAGGAAAAAAUGGGUGUUAAAAGUGAGAAAGACAAAAGGAAGAAGAUGACGCCCGAAGAAGAGAACGUGUAGAGGGGUAGACUAAAGGGGAGGAGAAAAAUAAAAGUGAAAGAAAAGAAAAGAACAGAAAAAAAAAAAAAAAGGCACGUGAGAAGAACAACGUUGUCGACUUGUUCAUUUAGUACAUUCUUUGUGAAUCUAUAAGAACAACGUUGUUCGACUUUUUUUUGUAGGAAUGUUGGGGAUUAUACAUUAUGCGAGAUCCUUGAUAUCUUAUGACUAUAAUGCUUCGAUUUUUUCUCUUUAAGUUAUGGAUUUGCAGAGAAUGGAGGGUGCUGUUUCGUUGUUGCCUUAUUGCUUAUUGUCUUGAAUUUUUCUUUACUUAAGGUACAUCCUCAAUUGGU